RNAcentral lists this small nucleolar RNA (139 nucleotides) under Ornithorhynchus anatinus (platypus). Lineage: Eukaryota; Metazoa; Chordata; Mammalia; Monotremata; Ornithorhynchidae. The record is from RNAcentral.
CCCCUCUUGGGAUUGCACUUGGAGAGUUCCCAGUACUCUACCAAUCUCAGCUGUGGGAGGGAGAGUCAAGCAGAGGCAUACUCAUUCCAUUCCUAGCUUGGGCAGUUGGCUAGUGAGUGGAAGGCCAUCUGUUAUAAGC